RNAcentral lists this ribosomal RNA (589 nucleotides) under Penicillium solitum. RNAcentral's name for it is "LSU rRNA". It matches the Rfam family "Eukaryotic large subunit ribosomal RNA", at positions 1 to 672 of the family's 3401-position model. The record is from RNAcentral. Lineage: Eukaryota; Fungi; Ascomycota; Eurotiomycetes; Eurotiales; Aspergillaceae.
UGGUGGAAGCGGCACAUCGGCGUAUUGGCCUUGCGCAUGUCAGAGUUGAAUGCUGGCUCCUUCGGGGUCCGCAUUGAAAUUUGCAUAGGAAGCUCCCGGAACGGCCCCCUACUGUGGGCCCUGGAGGGGGCCGUGGUACAGGGGGACAUCUUGCCCGGGUAAGGGGUGGUAACGUGUUCGUUCAGGACUAUCUCAUUUUUGCGUUGUUUGUGAAGGCAGAUCUCUGACGAUGCUAAUGACUGGUUCCGUCUUGAAACACGGACCAGACCGAUAGCGCACAAGUAGAGUGAUCGAAAGAUGAAAAGCACUUUGAAAAGAGAGUUAAACAGCACGUGAAAUUGUUGAAAGGGAAGCGCUUGCGACCAGACUCGCCUGUAGGGUUCAGCCGGCAUUCGUGCCGGUGUACUUCCCUGCGGGCGGGCCAGCGUCGGUUUGGGCGGCCGGUCAAAGGCCCUCAAAAUGUAACGCCCCCCGGGGCGUCUUAUACCCGAGGAUGCCAUGCUCCCAUUUGAGGAUCUUGCAACUCGCUUCGCCUCGGACGCUGGCAUCCCGGGUCGGUUUCUUUUCCUCUUGAAACAGAUACCAGGGG